CCUACGGGUGGCUGCAGUGAGGAAUAUUGGUCAAUGGACGCGAGUCUGAACCAGCCAUGCCGCGUGCAGGAUGACGGCUCUAUGAGUUGUAAACUGCUUUUAUAAGAGAGUAAACCCCGAUACGUGUAUCUGUUUGCAUGUACCGUACGAAUAAGGAUCGGCUAACUCCGUGCCAGCAGCCGCGGUAAUACGGAGGAUCCGAGCGUUAUCCGGAUUUAUUGGGUUUAAAGGGUGCGUAGGCGGGUGGAUAAGUUAGAGGUGAAAUGUUGGGGCUCAACCACGAAAGUGCGUCGAAUACUGUUGGACUUGAGUAUAGUUGAGGUAGGCGGAAUGUGUGGUGUAGCGGUGAAAUGCUUAGAGAUCACGAAGAACACCGAUUGCGAAGGCAGCCUGCCAAACCAUAACUGACGUUGAGGCUCGAAAGCGUGGGUAGCGAACAGGAUUAGAUACCCGUGUAGUC
This 460-nucleotide ribosomal RNA is filed under the name uncultured bacterium. RNAcentral describes it as "partial 16S ribosomal RNA". It matches the Rfam family "Bacterial small subunit ribosomal RNA", at positions 338 to 795 of the family's 1533-position model. The record is from RNAcentral.